This 3791-nucleotide long non-coding RNA is filed under the name Brassica napus (rape). Its description in RNAcentral is "long non-coding RNA (BNAP_LNC025623)". Lineage: Eukaryota; Viridiplantae; Streptophyta; Magnoliopsida; Brassicales; Brassicaceae. The record is from RNAcentral.
GAUCCGGGCUCAUGAUAGGCCGAGCUUUCUACGGGCCAGGCAGCAGGCUGAGUAAUAGUAACCCUAAUUAUUAAUUAACAAUUUAACAUCUAAAAGUAAAAACGCUAACCUAGGGAUACCGGUUCUUUCCUAAAUUUUACUUUAACCGGGUUGGCAAGUCUAAACCGUCGCUUAACCGGCUUUCUUAUCUUAGCCUGUAAUUAUAAAACCGCUCCUCCACUCAACGAACUCUAUUAGGGUAAAGCGGUACGCCGUUUACAUUGUUACUCACGAAACAGAGCUCUGGAUCCAUCUCAAUCAGCUCGAGCAAGAAUCGAUCCAUUGAGAUUGCGAAGAAAGAAACUUCAUAAUCUGAAAAGGUAGAUCCUAAACUAUUCUUGAUAAAUCUUGAUAGUCUGGCUUUUCAAUUCUUUUCAAUUGAACUACGAUGAUUUGAUCUUAUAUCUGCAGGUGGGAUGGAAAAGGAUCUCAGGGUAUUUGGAUCCGGUUAAGUAUAUAACAAAAUGUUUAUGCAGAUAUCAUUUACUCUCUCUCUUUCUUGAUUUAUCUUUUCUUGAGAAGUUGCUGAAGAUUGUUUUAUGAGAGUAUUAUAAGUCACCGCAUUUGGUAAUCAAGUGUUGCUUUCCCAAACGAAGUGACUUAUAAAGAUCUCAUGAUUAAUCGAUUUUUUGCAAGGUCUUGAAGAGAGUAAAGGACCAUGAUGUCCUGAGUGAAAAUGGAUUUAUCUUUCUUUUUUUUUGUCUUAUAAUGUGCCAGGUCUCUUUGUGUGUUACUGUCCACUCUUUCUUUUUGUCUGGGUGAUAACAAGAUAAAUCCCAAGCAUCAUCCACCUUAUUAGCUUUGACAUAAACGAAGGCUUGUAAAAUGGAAGAUUCUUGGGAUUUAUCUUUUUGUAGUCUCCUCUUCUAAAAGAGUAAUGUCAACAUACACGGAAAUGAUUUCAAAUUCUAAAAGUGUUGCUUAAUGUUACAACAUACACGACAAUGAUUUCAGGCUUGUGGAGGAACAUGAUGCUUCUGUUUAUGGAUUUGUAAGCCAGAAACUUGAUAUUUGCUAAAGAAGUGUUAACCGUUUGCAUGUGUUAUAACUGAGUGUUUACACCCACUUUAUGUAUAAAUGGAAUAAGGUUGCUUUCCCCCAUCAGAUUAAAGACUAAGUGAUCAAGAUUUUAUCUUUUUGUUUCUUAGUUUGAACUUUUUUAUGUUCUCGUAAUGUAUUGAUCAAUGUGAUAUAAAAUAGAUAACAAUGUUGUGCCAAACAAAACUAUGUUGAUAGGUACGGUUUUGUGCAAUUAAUGGACAACCACUUCAUGUUAGCCAUUUUCAAAAACGUUAACGAAAAGAUUGGUAAAUACUUAUCCACUAGGUACGUGGAAAGAGAUUAUUAAUUUUAUUAUUUUUAGAUAAAAAGAUAUUAGGUCUCUUUAAUCUAGAUAUUGGUUCAGUUUUAGGUUGGUUUUUUUUUUUUAAUCUCCUAAAAUAUCACUAUUAGAGAUGUCAAACAAGUUUACCCGUCUCGUACCGCGGCGGGUUAGUCAUCAAGCGGGCCAGCUGGCUUUUUCCGCGUGGACUGCGGUCUUCAGAAUGUCGGCUCAAACCCGUACCGCAGAACAUAUAGGCCUUCGCGGGUCGUCCCGCGGGAUGCCUCCUUGUCAAACCGCCUACUACAACUUCCUUCAUGAAUGUUCAAAUUGAAGAGUUGUGUAAGAGAGUUGAAGAUAGCUCAUUAAGCUUCACUAAAGUCUUAUCAAAAUCAAUGCCAUAAAGCUCUGUUUGUGCUUGUGUUCUUGAGUUAAAAGCCUUUUCUUGUUAUCAUCAUAAGAUUUUAUUAAAUUUGAAUUUGAUUGAGUUGUUGUCUUUGUAAUAACUUGGCUCAAGUGUUGUAUGUUUUCAUCAAACCAUCUUUCUUUGUAAUUCUUUGGAUUUCAAAAAAAAAAAUCGUUAAUCAUUUGUCAAAUUAUACAAGUCACAUGAUAUACAACUAACUUUUCUCCUAAACAACAUCAUUGUAACCAUAUUUAAUUUAAGAAAAAUACCAUUUCACAAUACUGAAAACGAAACCAAGCAACUUAAACAAGAAAUCCCACAUUGUAAUAAAGCAAUUAAUAGUUGUGUUUAAUAAAAAGAGAAAACCAAAUCAAAACAACACCAGAGCUCGAAUCGUCAUCGCUGAAGCUGGAGUCGUCAUCGCCGGAUCUCGAAUCAUCAUCACCGGAGCUCAAAUCAUCAUCGCCGGAACUCCUUAUGUUUUCAAGGGGAAAAGUCACAAGAAUCGAUUUCUUCUCACUAUCUCUCUCGUUCUUUUCAGGUAAAAUAAGAAAUGAAAAAAAAUGCGGGUCCAUAUAAUCCCGCAUGACCCGUUUCGACCCAGUCCCGCAAAGACCUGUCCCGCGAAGCCCGCAAAUUUACGGGCCUAGAAAACCUCGUCCCAAUACCGUCCCGCGACAGGCCUUUACGAACCAGGCCCGUGGUCCAAGUCCAUGAUUGCCAUCUCUAAUCACUACCAUUCUAAAUCUAUAUUUAUUUUGGUUUGUUCGGUUAAAAUGCUUAAGGUUUUUGUUUUCUUUGGGUGAUAAACAAAAAACUAUUAUUAUUGGUUUGGUUUCAUGUUAUAUGAGUUUUAGACUGUCGAACCAAUAGUUUGAAUUCAUAUUAUAAUUUAUAAACGUAUACAAAAUCAAAUCAAAUCUAGAUAAUAGUUAAAAAAAAAAUUAUUAAGACAAAUCAUUUCUCUACAAUUUGGUCGAUGGUGAAAGGAAGCAUUAAAAAAAAUAUAUUCCAAUUUCAAUUAUUAUUGAGUAAAAAAAAAGUAUGCAAUGAUAUUACUGAUUGACUCAAAGUUGUUUAUGAGUUCAGUUGUUUUGAUAUGGAACUCUAAACUAAUCUUUAAAGUGUGAGAUUAUUUGAGUUGCGUUUUGAUAGACCAUGGAUUUAACCCACUCUCACCCAUGAAUUAUCAGUGUUUUAAUUAUUAAUUAUUAUAUUAUAGAGUUUAUUUAGUAUAUUUAUAGGAUCAGAAGUGAUUUGGAGACAAGUGAUGAUUUUGGAGCAUUUUAGAGAUAUUUGGAGCAAGCACCCGAGAUGACCAUCGAGCUCGACCAUCGGUCGAUAUUGAAGAGGAAUAAUCGAUCAAUGUUCACAUCAGAGCAUCGAUCGACAGCGAAGCGCGCAAAAAGCCUGUUUGGUCACAGCCGACUUGAAGCCCAAGUCUUCACCAGUUUACAAGAUUACUGAUAUAUGGUGUUUUUGGCAUCUUGUAUAUAUGUUUUCUAAUUGGUUUUCAAGUCAUUAUCGAGUCUUCCUAAUCCUUUUCGAGUCAUUACAGGUCUGGAGUUGCAUUGGAUUGGAGAUAGACCAGCUGAAACAAAAAGGACAGAACACAAUGCAAUCUGGAGUUUUCACGCGGAACCGUCUGAGUGACUGUUCCCGAUAGCGGAGCAACCCGAGUGACUGUUCUGGAUAGAGAGGAGCAACCCGAGUGCAUGUUCCAGCGGCAGAGAUUUUUAAGGAAACUACAAGUCAUUACGGAAUUUGCCCUAAUUAUCCCAUCUUUUUCUCCCAGCCGCCAGUGGCUUCCAUAUAACUUCUCUUUCUGUUUUUCUAUAUUUUAUUACGCUGUUUUUGAGACAAGGAACCAGACUUGAGUGAUAAAAAGAUAUUAGGUCUCUUUAAUCUAGAUAUUGGUUCAGUUUUAGGUUGGUUUUUUUUUUUUAAUCUCCUAAAAUAUCACUAUUAGAGAUGUCAAACAAGUUUACCCGUCUCGUACCGCGGCGGGUUAGUCAUCAAGCGGGC